AUUGAACGCUGGCGGCAGGCCUAACACAUGCAAGUCGAAUGGUAACAGGAAACAGCUUGCUGUUUCGCUGACGAGUGGCGGACGGGUGAGUAAUGUCUGGGAAACUGCCUGAUGGAGGGGGAUAACUACUGGAAACGGUAGCUAAUACCGCAUAACGUCGCAAGACCAAAGAGGGGGACCUUCGGGCCUCUUGCCAUCAGAUGUGCCCAGAUGGGAUUAGCUAGUAGGUGGGGUAACGGCUCACCUAGGCGACGAUCCCUAGCUGGUCUGAGAGGAUGACCAGCCACACUGGAACUGAGACACGGUCCAGACUCCUACGGGAGGCAGCAGUGGGGAAUAUUGCACAAUGGGCGCAAGCCUGAUGCAGCCACGCCGCGUGUAUGAAGAAGGCCUUCGGGUUGUAAAGUACUUUCAGCGGGGAGGAAGGGAGUAAAGUUAAUACCUUUGCUCAUUGACGUUACCCGCAGAAGAAGCACCGGCUAACUCCGUG
RNAcentral lists this ribosomal RNA (490 nucleotides) under uncultured bacterium. Its description in RNAcentral is "partial 16S ribosomal RNA". It matches the Rfam family "Bacterial small subunit ribosomal RNA", at positions 30 to 507 of the family's 1533-position model. The record is from RNAcentral.